AAGAAAUUAGUUAAAUUUAUAACAUUAGAAUGUCAAACUAAAAUUAUUGAAAUAUUAAUAUUUCUUA
RNAcentral lists this transfer RNA (67 nucleotides) under Oreodytes scitulus. RNAcentral describes it as "tRNA-Asp". Lineage: Eukaryota; Metazoa; Arthropoda; Insecta; Coleoptera; Dytiscidae. The record is from RNAcentral.